UCCGGCUUCACAGGGGUUCUCUGCAG
RNAcentral lists this non-coding RNA (26 nucleotides) under Cricetulus griseus (Chinese hamster). The record is from RNAcentral. Lineage: Eukaryota; Metazoa; Chordata; Mammalia; Rodentia; Cricetidae.